This 517-nucleotide ribosomal RNA is filed under the name Thorius troglodytes (Taylor's pigmy salamander). Its description in RNAcentral is "partial large subunit ribosomal RNA". It matches the Rfam family "Bacterial large subunit ribosomal RNA", at positions 1816 to 2597 of the family's 2925-position model. Lineage: Eukaryota; Metazoa; Chordata; Amphibia; Caudata; Plethodontidae. The record is from RNAcentral.
CGCCUUUUGAUUUAUUAAUAUAAAAGGUCCUGCCUGCCCAGUGACAUUUGUUCAACGGCCGCGGUAUUAUGACCGUGCAAAGGUAGCGUAAUCACUUGUCCUUUAAAUGAAGACCAGUAUGAACGGCAAGACGAGAGCCUAACUGUCUCUCCACACUAGUUAAUGAAGUUGAUUUUUCCGUGCAGAAGCGGAAAUAAUAUUAUAAGACGAGAAGACCCUGUGGAGCUUUAAGUAAAAACUAGUUAUUUAAUAUAAUAUGGCUAAAACUUUAGGUUGGGGCGACCGUGAGGUAAAAUUAAUCCCUCAAGAUAAAAUAUUAGAAAGACACUUCAAACAAACAAAAUAUUGAUAUAUUGACCCAAAAAUUGAUCAACGAACCAAGUUACCCCAGGGAUAACAGCGCAAUCCACUCACAGAGUCCUUAUCGACGAGUGGGUUUACGACCUCGAUGUUGGAUCAGGACCCCCAAAUAAUGUAACAAUUAUUAAAGGUUCGUUUGUUCAACGAUUAAAGUACU